This 253-nucleotide ribosomal RNA is filed under the name uncultured bacterium. RNAcentral describes it as "partial 16S ribosomal RNA". It matches the Rfam family "Bacterial small subunit ribosomal RNA", at positions 524 to 776 of the family's 1533-position model. The record is from RNAcentral.
GACGUAGGGCGCGAGCGUUGUCCGGAUUUAUUGGGCGUAAAGAGCUCGUAGGCGGCUUGUUGCGUCGACCGUGAAAACCCGGGGCUCAACUCCGGAUCUGCGGUGGGUACGGGCAGACUAGAGUGAUGUAGGGGAGACUGGAAUUCCUGGUGUAGCGGUGAAAUGCGCAGAUAUCAGGAGGAACACCGAUGGCGAAGGCAGGUCUCUGGGCCGAUACUGACGCUGAGGAGCGAAAGCGUGGGGAGCGAACAGG